AACUUUUUGUACUAACUUGUGUUUUCAUCAUUACAGACAUAAGUUCUGAAGGUGUGGGCUUACAAAUUGCAGCACCUCCUGUUGAUGGUGAAGCUAACACUGAGUUAGUGAAGUUUCUUUCUUUUUCUCUAGGCGUUCGUAAAAGCAAUGUUGUUCUGGAAAGGGGCUCUAGAUCACGACAGAAGACUGUAAUCGUUUAUAGCUCCUCUCUACAAGAUGUUGAAAGAAUUCUUCAUUCAAUGGCUGAUAAAAAAUAAAUACUAAUGAGGUUUUGAGGUUGAGUUUCACAAGUGGUCUACCAAAUUGUCUCUCAUGAGUCUGCACAGUUUCCAAGUGUUAACAACACUUGGAAACUGUGCAUCCAGCUGACAGAUGAAGUGUACUGCCAACAGCUUACUACAUCUAAUUUUUUUUAUUAUUUGUCAUUUUAGGCUCAGGGUGAUGCUUGGUAAUUUUCAUGUUGAUUAUUGAUGUACAUCCUGUAAAUGGUUUUAGAAUACAUAAUUCAGAUAGGUUUAGCCCUCUGCUCUCCUUGUUCUGCAAACUUUUGGCAAUUCUCCUUGGAUUGUUUUACCAUGAACUAUGUAUCCUAGGUCCUGGCAAGAUUGGAGGUUAUUGUUAUUAGUAGAAAAGAGUUGCAAUAUCAGAACAAGGGGAAAACAGCAAAAUCGUCAACUUACCUUUCCGAUGUUAUGUCAAAGUCUAAAAUUUCCAGUAAUUUUAGUUUGGUAUAACGUAGAUAUGGUAUGUUGAUUAUGUUUUUGCUGUUGUUCCUUUUUCUCUCGAUAUCAGUCACUUUUUAGUCUUCAAUUAAUUACAAAUUUGAAAUAAAAAAUGACAAUGCAUUACCUAUCUCAAUGCCUACAAAAUUAGGAGUACUUAAUUUCGAGUUUAUUUUUAAUAGCUCCUAAAUGUAAGCAUGAAUUUAUUGCAAAUGGUAAUAUUUAUCUUCCAGAGGUAUUUAACAAUGUAGUUAUUAUUCUGAGUAGUAUAUGGAUAAGGUGCACCAAAGAGUAAGAUAAGCUUAUAAAUAGAAUAAAAGAAAAAGAACCCUUUCUUAAGGAUGAUGAACAUCUAAUGAUUCUCCAGACAUGCCAAAACAACACUAAUUCGUUGAACACCUGCCUCAAAAAUUGUUAGAGUCUGUGCACAUAAAACACAUUGAAUGUUAUGUAGAUCUGGAAAGUCAGAGUAAAACCAGCCAAGUAUUUACAAAUUACCAUGUGCUAUAACAAGCAACAAGGUUAACAUUUGCAAAUCAGUAGACUUUGAAAGGAGAAAACUGGAACACACAGAUGCUAUUAGAAGGGGAGAAGAAACCAGUGCUGUUUUUUAACAUAAGUCACAAGAAAAUCAUCCAGUACAUUUUUAUGACAUUGGGGGAUUUGUAAUAGGUACACUUAGACAAUAACUUGCAGACGUUAUUCGCAUUCAUAACUAAAAAUGUGGGCAUUUAUCAAAUUGAUUUUAAAUUUGUUGGAUAUUUACAAUAUUAAUGUAACAAGUAUACGUAGAUAGGUUAUUAAAAUAAACAAACCUAACUGAGUGUUUUGUUUUUCAGCUGUUGAGACUGAAUUAUGAUAAUACUGUUGGUUUUCUCUGUUAUGCAAACCUUUAUAUUUGAAAAAAAAAUUCUAACCUCUUGGCUGUGCCGGGAAGGAGUGGGAAUGCAGUGUGGGAUGGGGGGGUUGGGGGUUGGGAGCAGGUGUUUGACUUCGUUAGAGGUUUUUGAUUUUAUGUGUUCUACGUUUAUACUUUUUCCACAUUUUAUUAAAGGAUAUGUACAGCUCGGUGUAACUUCUAAUGAAAUACAUCAAGCACAAAGCAUAGAAAAGGAGAUAAUAGUA
Macrobrachium nipponense is the source of this 1847-nucleotide long non-coding RNA. RefSeq lists it as uncharacterized. The transcript has 3 exons. The record is from RefSeq and is a predicted model, not a curated record. NCBI's taxonomy places the organism in Eukaryota, Metazoa, Arthropoda, Malacostraca, Decapoda, Palaemonidae.